Molecule: long non-coding RNA, 603 nt
Organism: Dioscorea cayenensis subsp. rotundata (Guinea yam)
Lineage: Eukaryota; Viridiplantae; Streptophyta; Magnoliopsida; Dioscoreales; Dioscoreaceae
Exons: 3
Source: RefSeq, a predicted model, not a curated record
UCGCUAUUUGCUUCUUUCUUCUUCAAAGCCUCGAAUCCCUCUCCAUUUGGCGAGCGAGCGAGAGAGAAGACACCCGAGCAGCACCAAAGGAUUUAAUCUUUGCUUGCAUCUCCGAGUGUCCUUUUCUAGGUUGACCGGCCUGUCAGGUUCCAAAUCCUUCUCAUUAGUCACUGAGAAUUCUACAAUAUAAAUUGGUUCAAGAGAAGUGGGAAAAAUUGCACAUUCUCUACAAGCUGCUGGAGGGUUUUUAGCCCUUUUCUUUGCCUGCUUAACAGCAGUUUAUAUUUGGUCCUUAUCGGUUGCAAUAUUUGCCAUUUCCAUCACAACUAGCUUAACAAUCUUGAUUGUUGUUAUAGCUACAGGUACUUGUCCUUAACUUGUUCCUCUAAUACUACUAGUUUGCUCCAGUUUCUUUUGUUUUCAAUGAUGGAUUUGGAUCAAUCCUUCAUGAUUUGGAGCAUUGCUUAGAUGAUUUUUUCUCCCUGAGCCAAUUUUUCAUCCAUUGCACUACUUGGGCUGCAGUUAAUGGAACCUGAAGAAAGUGAUAUUUGAUAUGGUUACUGAUAAUUCCUUUUCAAGUAGCUCAAGUUUUUACCUUUAUAA